RNAcentral lists this small nuclear RNA (177 nucleotides) under Erinaceus europaeus (western European hedgehog). Its description in RNAcentral is "U2 spliceosomal RNA". It matches the Rfam family "U2 spliceosomal RNA". From Rfam's summary of the family: U2 is a small nuclear RNA (snRNA) component of the spliceosome (involved in pre-mRNA splicing). Complementary binding between U2 snRNA (in an area lying towards the 5' end but 3' to hairpin I) and the branchpoint sequence (BPS) of the intron results the bulging out of an unpaired adenosine, on the BPS, which initiates a nucleophilic attack at the intronic 5' splice site, thus starting the first of two transesterification reactions that mediate splicing. The record is from Rfam by way of RNAcentral. Lineage: Eukaryota; Metazoa; Chordata; Mammalia; Eulipotyphla; Erinaceidae.
AUCACUUCUUGGCCUUUUCGCUUAGGUUAACUGUAAUAUUUGCUUUUGUCAGUUUAAUAUCCGAUACAUCCUCUAGCCAAAGACAAUAUAUUAAAUAGAUUUUUGGAGCAGGGAGUGAGAAUAUUCACCCCAUAUAUUGACCUGAUAUUGCAGAAAUAAAAAAAUAUUAUAUGCAUG